RNAcentral lists this long non-coding RNA (971 nucleotides) under Triticum aestivum (bread wheat). RNAcentral's name for it is "long non-coding RNA (TAES_LNC000961)". The record is from RNAcentral. Lineage: Eukaryota; Viridiplantae; Streptophyta; Magnoliopsida; Poales; Poaceae.
CUCCGUCGCUCGCCCUGCCUGGUCCCCUGCUGGCCUGCUGCUCUGGUGCGUGCCGGCUAGCUCUCCUGCCUCUGCUCCGGUCUGGCCUCUCCUUGCUCCUGCUCUGCUCCGGCCCACGCCCAGCAGGACUGACAGGACUGACCGACUGAGGACUAACGCCCAGGAUUGGUAUUUGGUAAUGCCUGCUGUUGAUAAUGUUUUUGAAGAUUCAACAUUCAAUUGCACUUGAAUUGCUGCUGCUUAUUUCUUAUUUGAAUGUUCCAUAGAGAUGUCAAACAUUGCAUUCCGUAGAGAUGUUCCACGCUUGCAGAAGCUACUGUUAAUUCCGUAGUACAUGAUGUUGUAAACCUGAAUGAACCAAUCGGAUUGCUGCUGUGCUUAUUUGAAUGUGAAUAUUGUUGUUGCUAUGGUUGGUUGAAGAAUAAGAUGGGUGAUGAUUGGAUGAACUAUUCCAUGGUGUGCAAUAUUGAGGGAGAAAUAUUUGCAAAGGUUGAUGAUGAUGCUAUUAUAUAUCGCUUUCAAUCCUAUAGAUCUCACAAAGGAAUUUUACCUCGUCGUAGUAGUACGUUUUCAACUCUGUGUAAUGUUAAUUGUUUCACUUGAUGUUUAUGUCUUCUCUUAUGAAAUUUUGCUUUUCAUUUCUCUAAGGUGUUGGCUCUUCUUCCACCGUUGAUCAAGUUAUGGAAGACACUAAUGAAGCAAGCAAUUGAUUUGGUACUCUUUUACUGCACGCACUAUUCAUAGUUUUUGUCAUCUUUUUUUAUCUAUUUUGUUGUAUCUUUAAGCAUUGAGAUUAAAUUCUAAAUUUUUGUGCAAUUGAGCCAUAUUUGAGGUAGCUAUAGAUUGAUGGAGGUUAAGUUUUUCUCUCGUGACAAAAAAUUUUUUGGGCCCGCGGCUUGCUCCAAUCAUGGAUCCGCCACUGUGCUCCACACAACACACCCUAGCUCUGACGGACAAAAAUUGAAAGUAAC